This 537-nucleotide ribosomal RNA is filed under the name Mucilaginibacter sp. Its description in RNAcentral is "bacterial SSU rRNA". It matches the Rfam family "Bacterial small subunit ribosomal RNA", at positions 456 to 994 of the family's 1533-position model. Lineage: Bacteria; Pseudomonadati; Bacteroidota; Sphingobacteriia; Sphingobacteriales; Sphingobacteriaceae. The record is from RNAcentral.
UUAUGUAUAACCAGCUGAAUGUACAGUAAGAAUAAGGAUCGGCUAACUCCGUGCCAGCAGCCGCGGUAAUACGGAGGAUCCGAGCGUUAUCCGGAUUUAUUGGGUUUAAAGGGUGCGUAGGCGGCCUAUUAAGUCAGGGGUGAAAGACGGUAGCUUAACUAUCGCAGUGCCUUUGAUACUGAUAGGCUUGAAUGUACUUGAGGUAGGCGGAAUGUGACAAGUAGCGGUGAAAUGCAUAGAUAUGUCACAGAACACCAAUUGCGAAGGCAGCUUACUAAAGUAUGAUUGACGCUGAGGCACGAAAGCGUGGGGAUCAAACAGGAUUAGAUACCCUGGUAGUCCACGCCCUAAACGAUGAACACUCGAUGUUGGCGAUAUACGGUCAGCGUCUAAGCGAAAGCGUUAAGUGUUCCACCUGGGGAGUACGCCCGCAAGGGUGAAACUCAAAGGAAUUGACGGGGGCCCGCACAAGCGGAGGAGCAUGUGGUUUAAUUCGAUGAUACGCGAGGAACCUUACCCGGGCUUGAAAGUUAGUGA